CCUACGGGUGGCAGCAGUGAGGAAUAUUGGUCAAUGGGCGGAAGCCUGAACCAGCCAAGUAGCGUGCAGGAUGACGGCCCCACGGGUUGUAAACUGCUUUUAUACGGGAAUAACGCGCCUUACGUGUAGGGCUUUGCACGUAUCGUAUGAUAAAGGACCGGCUAAUUCCGUGCCAGCAGCCGCGGUAAUACGGAAGGUCCGGGCGUUAGCCGGAUUUAUUGGGUAUAAAGGGCGCGUAGGUCGCAUGUCAAGCGUGCCGUGAAAUGUCCGGGCUCAACCCGGGCCUUGCAGCGCGAACUGGCGUGCGUGAGUCCGCGGAAGGCAGGCGGAAUUCGUCGUGUAGCGGUGAAAUGCUUAGAUAUGACGAAGAACCCCGAUUGCGAAGGCAGCUUGCUGCAGCGGAACUGACGCUGAUGCUCGAAAGCGCGGGUAUCGAACAGGAUUAGAUACCCCUGUAGUC
RNAcentral lists this ribosomal RNA (460 nucleotides) under uncultured bacterium. Its description in RNAcentral is "partial 16S ribosomal RNA". It matches the Rfam family "Bacterial small subunit ribosomal RNA", at positions 338 to 795 of the family's 1533-position model. The record is from RNAcentral.